UACACACAGCCAUAUCACCCUGCAGCCCAAGACGGGUUGCCCACUGAAGCUAAGCAGGGCUGAGCCUGGUCAGUACCUGGAUGGGAGACCUCCUGGGGAAACUAGGUUGCUGCUGGAA
Molecule: ribosomal RNA, 118 nt
Organism: Sinocyclocheilus grahami
Lineage: Eukaryota; Metazoa; Chordata; Actinopteri; Cypriniformes; Cyprinidae
Source: Ensembl